CGUCCAUGGACCCCGACCGCCGGCUGCUCGACCUCGGCGGCAGCUUCACCUCGCUGCUCGCGCCCACGCCGGCGCCCCUCCCCGGCGGCCACUUCACCACCACCGGCUUCCUCUUAGGCAUGGCGCCGCCGGCUCCUUCUCCUGCGCCGCCCGCACACCCGCCGCCGACGCACCCACACCCGCCGGUGUCGCAGGCGGGGCCGGAGGGCAUCUGGGCCAUGGGGUGGCCGCACCUCUCCAUCUAGCUCGUCGCCAUCGCCCGCCAUUGGCAGCAGCAACUCGCCACUAAUCUACACAUCGCUCGAGUUUCAUCUGUUGUUCCUAGUUGCACCAAAGUUAUCUUUUUUUUGAGAGCUACUAGCUUCCAAGCACGCGGCCAGUAGAAGAAGUCAUUACUAGCGUAGUGUUAAUCACCUAGGUUAAUUCAGUAAGCAAAACGGUUAGGAGAGUUACUACUACUCGACGAUGGUUGAUGCAUGCAUGGUAGC
This 488-nucleotide long non-coding RNA is filed under the name Oryza brachyantha (malo sina). RNAcentral describes it as "long non-coding RNA (OBRA_LNC000043)". Lineage: Eukaryota; Viridiplantae; Streptophyta; Magnoliopsida; Poales; Poaceae. The record is from RNAcentral.